Long non-coding RNA from Melanotaenia boesemani (Boeseman's rainbowfish), 627 nucleotides. RefSeq lists it as uncharacterized. The record is from RefSeq and is a predicted model, not a curated record. NCBI's taxonomy places the organism in Eukaryota, Metazoa, Chordata, Actinopteri, Atheriniformes, Melanotaeniidae. The transcript is spliced from 6 exons.
UGUUGCAGUCUGGGUUAAGGUGUCCCAACCUGGGUUUUCCUUCUCAAACUCUUCCUCUCUCACCACUAGGCCCACCGUCGCCACCUGAUUCUGAGGUUCUUUCCAUCUCUUUAGUAGGUUGACAUGGAUUAACAUUCCCAACAUCCAUCACCUUGGCAAACAGGGGCUCCAAUGUGCUAUCUUGCUUCUGUAAUUCCACAAUAUUUUCAGCAAACACAUCAACACUGGCAAGUCCCUCCCCAAAAGAAGGUCCACAGGCAGAUUAUCUACCACCCCAACAGUCAGAAAAUAAGGCUGCUCAUCGAUUAACACAGUUAUUUCAGUCUGAGGUUGGUUCCAGCUCAUUUCUGGUCCCUGUGCUGGUGAUACCUGGAGGAUGUCGUACUGUUGCUCCCCGUUGUGUCCAGACCUGCGAUAUCGGAAGGGCUGGAGGCCGUACGUUGGUGGUGGGUCGAGCCAAGGUGGUGGUUCUCACCUCUGGCGACAGGACGCGAAGAAGUUGCUCCAGGAUGAUGGCCUCCCCGAUCUGCUCUUUGGUCCGUUGCUCCGGCUGAAUCCAACGGCGGUAGAGUCCUUUUAAGCGGUGAUAUGUCUCAGUGGGCGUUUCUCCAUGUGGCACAGAUGCAC